GCCUUAAUAGCUUAAACUAAAGCACUGUUCUUGUAAACCAGAGCUGGGCACCACCCUUAAGGCA
Molecule: transfer RNA, 64 nt
Filed under: Xerotyphlops vermicularis (Eurasian blind snake)
Lineage: Eukaryota; Metazoa; Chordata; Lepidosauria; Squamata; Typhlopidae
Description: tRNA-Thr
Rfam family: tRNA
About the family: Transfer RNA (tRNA) molecules are approximately 80 nucleotides in length. Their secondary structure includes four short double-helical elements and three loops (D, anti-codon, and T loops). Further hydrogen bonds mediate the characteristic L-shaped molecular structure. tRNAs have two regions of fundamental functional importance: the anti-codon, which is responsible for specific mRNA codon recognition, and the 3' end, to which the tRNAs corresponding amino acid is attached (by aminoacyl-tRNA synthetases). tRNAs cope with the degeneracy of the genetic code in two manners: having more than one tRNA (with a specific anti-codon) for a particular amino acid; and 'wobble' base-pairing, i.e. permitting non-standard base-pairing at the 3rd anti-codon position.
Source: RNAcentral